GUGAUCACGGACAACUAAGGAAAGUGCAAGUAGAAAAAGGUAAAAAUCCUUGGUUUAUAGUAAGAGUUAAGUAGACAAGCAAUGCACAGGAGGAAGAGAAGAAAUGGCAUAAGGGAGAAAGUUAAAAGAAAUUGCUAGCGGCAACUGGGCAAGGAUGAAACAGUGCCAGGUAUCCAAGAGAGCUCUAUCAGGCCUCUUUACAAACAGCUGGUAUUCAGUGAUAUGCUUCUCAUGGAAGGACAUGGCAGUUCUAUUAAGCUAGCAUGACUGAUAAGAAGGUCUUCUAUGAGCAGAGAUGUAAUGGAGCAUGAUGGAGCUUUGGAUGGGUGAAGCUAAGAAACUAUAUGAUACUCACUCAGUGGGAAACCCAAAGCAAGAUCUCUUCAGAUGAUCUUAAGACUCUAGAGACUCAAGCGAAAGGACUGAAAUUCUAUUUUGAGCGUGUGCACAAACUGGCAAAACAGAGACAAAACAGGAACAGUGAUUUACCACAGACAGCAGCAGCCAAUGUCAGAGUGGAGUGGAAAUAUGUACAACGUGGUGUUACAACACUCAUAAGCAUACCUAAAUGUCACAGGCACAAGGGGUUCAAAUCCCAGCAUCUCCAGGAGGGAAGAAUUUAUCAUGGAGAAGUGGCUAUGAAGUGUGUGAGCCCAGAAGCUUUCCCCAUCCACUGAUUUCCUACUCCAAAUGGACUUCCAGCAGCUUUAUCUUCCCCUCCCUGUGAAAUUUUCAAAACAGUAGGUUUGCCCCAAAUAUGAUGAGAUGAUUUCAUGGGGGUAAAGGCACUCAUGGACAAUUUGAAGCAGAGAAACAAUGGGCACA
Long non-coding RNA from Hemicordylus capensis (graceful crag lizard), 825 nucleotides. RefSeq lists it as uncharacterized. The transcript is spliced from 6 exons. The record is from RefSeq and is a predicted model, not a curated record. Lineage: Eukaryota; Metazoa; Chordata; Lepidosauria; Squamata; Cordylidae.